ACCAGACUCCUACGGGAGGCAGCAGUGGGGGAUAUUGCACAAUGGGGGGAACCCUGAUGCAGCGACGCCGCGUGGGUGAAGAAGCGCCUCGGCGCGUAAAGCCCUGUCAGCAGGGAAGAAAAUGACGGUACCUGAAGAAGAAGCCCCGGCUAACUACGUGCCAGCAGCCGCGGUAAUACGUAGGGGGCAAGCGUUAUCCGGAUUUACUGGGUGUAAAGGGGGCGCAGACGGCGAUGCAGGCCAGGAGUGAAAGCCCGGGGCCCAACCCCGGGACUGCUCUUGGAACUGCGUGGCUGGAGUGCAGGAGGGGCAGGCGGAAUUCCUGGUGUAGCGGUGAAAUGCGUAGAUAUCAGGAGGAACACCGGUGGCGAAGGCGGCCUGCUGGACUGCAACUGACGUUGAGGCCCGAAAGCGUGGGGAGCAAACAGGAUUAGAUACCCCAGUACC
RNAcentral lists this ribosomal RNA (447 nucleotides) under uncultured bacterium. Its description in RNAcentral is "bacterial SSU rRNA". It matches the Rfam family "Bacterial small subunit ribosomal RNA", at positions 330 to 794 of the family's 1533-position model. The record is from RNAcentral.